RNAcentral lists this ribosomal RNA (466 nucleotides) under Vreelandella stevensii. RNAcentral's name for it is "partial 16S ribosomal RNA". It matches the Rfam family "Bacterial small subunit ribosomal RNA", at positions 338 to 795 of the family's 1533-position model. The record is from RNAcentral. Lineage: Bacteria; Pseudomonadati; Pseudomonadota; Gammaproteobacteria; Oceanospirillales; Halomonadaceae.
CCUACGGGUGGCAGCAGUGGGGAAUAUUGGACAAUGGGCGAAAGCCUGAUCCAGCCAUGCCGCGUGUGUGAAGAAGGCCUUCGGGUUGUAAAGCACUUUCAGUGGGGAAGAAAGCCUUGGGGCUAAUACCCUCGAGGAAGGACAUCACCCACAGAAGAAGCACCGGCUAACUCCGUGCCAGCAGCCGCGGUAAUACGGAGGGUGCGAGCGUUAAUCGGAAUUACUGGGGCGUAAAGCGCGCGUAGGCGGUCUGAUAAGCCGGUUGUGAAAGCCCCGGGCUCAACCUGGGAACGGCAUCCGGAACUGUCAGGCUAGAGUGCAGGAGAGGAAGGUAGAAUUCCCGGUGUAGCGGUGAAAUGCGUAGAGAUCGGGAGGAAUACCAGUGGCGAAGGCGGCCUUCUGGACUGACACUGACGCUGAGGUGCGAAAGCGUGGGUAGCAAACAGGAUUAGAUACCCGUGUAGUC